ACAUGUUGGAGGAAUUCCUACUGCUUAUAAAUUUUCGACCAAUAAUAUUGAUAAGUCAUUUUUGUUGCAUAAAGGUCCUCAAAGAGUUGAAUGCCAUUGAAGUGAAAUACUUGAAAUCUUGAAUGACUCUAACAGUUAUCCACAAAUAAUCCAGCUCUACGUUUCGCUAACAUACAACUUUUUGAAGAUGCUGGUGUCUGGCAGGUCAUUAGAGUUGGAGGUUGGAGCUAAAGUCGUUGGUUGCCGAUGUAGGGAUUGUAGGUGCUCCAAAUGCUAAGAAGAGCACUCUUUUGAGUGUUAUUAGUGCCGCCAAGCCAGCUAUAUAUAGCCAAUUAUCCUUUUACCACAUUAUUGCUACCAAACCUUGGUGUGGUUUCAUUAGAUUUUGAUGCUACAAUAGUAGUAGUUGCUGACCUUCCUGGCUUGCCGGAAGGCGCUCAUCCUGGUUAUGGUUUGGGUCAUGAGUUCCUAAGACAUAGUGAGCGAUGCUCUGCCUUUGGUGCAUGCAUGUCGUGAUGGGUCUGCACAACAACAAGAAUAUGAGUUUGAAUCAGUUCGCUUGGAGCUGGAGUUAUUUAGUCCAUCUUUGGUUGACAAACCCUAUGUUGUGGUGUUCAAUAAGAUGUACCUUCCUGAGGCAUCUGAAAGAUGGAAUACAUUUGGGGACAAGAUACAGUCUGAAGGUUGUAAGCACACACGAUGUCAUUCAUGUGCUUACAACCUUUUACAGCAAGAGAGGCAGAGGAUGAAGGAAGCUGAAGGAUGGAGCGGGACAGAAAAUGUGAACCAUGUGUCUGAUGCAAUAAAAAAGGAAAGACGUGCACCCAUGAAUGAGUUUGAGGUUUUCUAUGACAAGGGUACAAAUACAUGGAAUGUUGUUGAAGCUAGUAUGGAGCAUUUUGUUCAGAUGAUUUACUGUUAGUACUCGGAUUCCUUGAGAAGAUUUCAGCAAUUCCCUAGAGGCAUGUGGUGUCAACAUAGCUCUAGCAAACAGGUAGUUAAGGAGGGCGAUCAUUAAGGUGAGAAUUGGUGAGGUAUGUAUGCACAGUAGUCAGAGCACAAUGGAUCACUGAACUAGAAGAUCGAACCACAAAAGGCCAA
Sorghum bicolor (sorghum) is the source of this 1101-nucleotide long non-coding RNA. RefSeq lists it as uncharacterized. NCBI's taxonomy places the organism in Eukaryota, Viridiplantae, Streptophyta, Magnoliopsida, Poales, Poaceae. The record is from RefSeq and is a predicted model, not a curated record. The transcript is spliced from 4 exons.